GUAAUAAUCCUGUAGUCGAAAAUGUUGUCUCUCUUGAGUGGAUCCUGAGUACGACGGAGCACGUGAAAUUCCGUCGGAAUCUGGGAGGACCAUCUCCUAAGGCUAAAUACUCUCUAGUGACCGAUAGUGAACCAGUACCGUGAGGGAAAGGUGAAAAGCACCCCGGAAGGGGAGUGAAAUAGAACCUGAAACCGUGUGCUUACAAGUAGUCAGAGCCCGUUAAUGGGUGAUGGCGUGCCUUUUGUAGAAUGAACCGGCGAGUUACGAUUUGAUGCAAGGUUAAGCAGUAAAUGUGGAGCCGUAGCGAAAGCGAGUCUGAAUAGGGCGUUUAGUAUUUGGUCGUAGACCCGAAACCAGGUGAUCUACCCUUGGUCAGGUUGAAGUUCAGGUAACACUGAAUGGAGGACCGAACCGACUUACGUUGAAAAGUGAGCGGAUGAACUGAGGGUAGCGGAGAAAUUCCAAUCGAACCUGGAGAUAGCUGGUUCUCUCCGAAAUAGCUUUAGGGCUAGCCUCAAGUGAUGAUUAUUGGAGGUAGAGCACUGUUUGGACGAGGGGCCCCUCUCGGGUUACCGAAUUCAGACAAACUCCGAAUGCCAAUUAAUUUAACUUGGGAGUCAGAACAUGGGUGAUAAGGUCCGUGUUCGAAAGGGAAACAGCCCAGACCACCAGCUAAGGUCCCAAAAUAUAUGUUAAGUGGAAAAGGAUGUGGCGUUGCCCAGACAACUAGGAUGUUGGCUUAGAAGCAGCCAUCAUUUAAAGAGUGCGUAAUAGCUCACUAGUCGAGUGACACUGCGCCGAAAAUGUACCGGGGCUAAACAUAUUACCGAAGCUGUGGAUUGUCCUUUGGACAAUGGUAGGAGAGCGUUCUAAGGGCGUUGAAGCAUGAUCGUAAGGACAUGUGGAGCGCUUAGAAGUGAGAAUGCCGGUGUGAGUAGCGAAAGACGGGUGAGAAUCCCGUCCACCGAUUGACUAAGGUUUCCAGAGGAAGGCUCGUCCGCUCUGGGUUAGUCGGGUCCUAAGCUGAGGCCGACAGGCGUAGGCGAUGGAUAACAGGUUGAUAUUCCUGUACCACCUAUAAUCGUUUUAAUCGAUGGGGGGACGCAGUAGGAUAGGCGAAGCGUGCGAUUGGAUUGCACGUCUAAGCAGUAAGGCUGAGUAUUAGGCAAAUCCGGUACUCGUUAAGGC
This 1188-nucleotide ribosomal RNA is filed under the name Staphylococcus aureus. RNAcentral describes it as "partial 23S ribosomal RNA". It matches the Rfam family "Bacterial large subunit ribosomal RNA", at positions 364 to 1556 of the family's 2925-position model. Lineage: Bacteria; Bacillati; Bacillota; Bacilli; Caryophanales; Staphylococcaceae. The record is from RNAcentral.